GACGAACGCUGGCGGCGUGCUUAACACAUGCAAGUCGAACGGUGAUGCUCCAGCUUGCUGGCGUGGAUCAGUGGCGAACGGGUGAGUAACACGUGAGCAACCUGCCCCAGACUCUGGAAUAAGCGCUGGAAACGGCGUCUAAUACUGGAUACGAAACUGGCCCGCAUGGGCAUGGUUUGGAAAGUUUUUCGGUUUGGGAUGGGCUCGCGGCCUAUCAGCUUGUUGGUGAGGUAAUGGCUCACCAAGGCGACGACGGGUAGCCGGCCUGAGAGGGCGACCGGCCACACGGGGACUGAGACACGGCCCAGACUCCUACGGGAGGCAGCAGUGGGGAAUAUUGCACAAUGGGCGAAAGCCUGAUGCAGCGACGCCGCGUGAGGGAUGACGGCCUUCGGGUUGUAAACCUCUUUCAGCAGGGAAGAAGCGAAAGUGACGGUACCUGCAGAAGAAGCACCGGCUAACUACGUG
This 468-nucleotide ribosomal RNA is filed under the name uncultured bacterium. RNAcentral's name for it is "partial 16S ribosomal RNA". It matches the Rfam family "Bacterial small subunit ribosomal RNA", at positions 28 to 507 of the family's 1533-position model. The record is from RNAcentral.